UCUAUGAUAAGAUGAACCUCUGCUCAUGUUUCAUUUAUUGUUCCUUGAAAAAAAAUUACUUAUGCUUGUAACAGAAGUAUGAUUCUAGCUUUGGUGUGUUCUCAUGCGUUGAUUCUUGCAUCUUCUGAGGCUUCACCAACUCAGCGACCAUCGAGCAAAAACUUUGACGAAUCAUUAGAUGAAUUUACAGCCAUAGAAACCAACCGAACGACCCUUAUAAAGAAGGCAGUGGCAAUGGCCUCGGACCUCAAAAGUAACGAGACGCUAAGAUUCCUUGAAGUCGUUGAACAGGCGAAUGAAGUGCUUGUUAAUAUAAGACGCUACUUCGAUGCUGGUAGAGUCAUGUUCGAUGUCAAUGAAGGAAAAUCAAACCUCACUGAAACAGAAGUGAUUGCGAAAACUCAGCUCUUGCAAGAGGAGAAAUUCAUGAAUAUUCAAAUGCACAAGCUGCGUGCAAUCUACAAAACUAUGUAUGCUCAAAUGGAGGACGUGCCAAAAGAGGAAUUGAACAUGCUGCUAAGGCCGGUGAUUGACGCUCUUACGCAGAGUGAUCAGGCGCUGACUCCACUAGGACAAUCAUUUCAAAUUGAGCUGGAUAAAGUAGAAAAGACGAGCAUUUGACAAACCGGACAAUUAUUAGACCAUGAGGUACAAACAUGGAAUUUUACGAUUAAAAUACGCGCACGGCACUGGUCCGUUUAUCGUGAACAAAAUUUCCGGCUAUCGUGAGGGACCGUUCGUUUAACUCCACCUCGAUACAUCCAUAUUCAAUCAGUGUUUUGAGUUAAAUUUCAAUCAAGGUCGCACUCGAUGACGAUUUGACAAACUGGGCGCUGAAAUGCUUAGAUUUGACAAACGAGCUAGCCGUAGGAAGUGCAUAUAAGGUCUAGAUAAACGAUCAAAUUCCGAACAAAUUCUGAUCAAAGUAGACAAGUUGAUGACUGAUGGUCACCAUGCGACAGUCCUCUUUGAUCAAAAUUGGAUGGGCCGUCAAAUUUUGAUCACAAUGAAGUGCCGCCAUUCAUCAUUUCCUACCGCACGGAACAUUUCUGCCAAGUUUUCAUUUUAAAACUAAGCAAAUCAAUGAUUUUAGGACUGAUGACUCCCGACACUUUGGUGGUAAUUGGUUCGGGAAUUUGAUCGUGUAUCGAGCCCUGUAGACAGACAGCAUUGGAUCAGCAUGGCUCAGCACAGAUCAGUCAACAUUUAAUGAUGUCAGAGUUCAUGUCUGGGUUGAAUCAAAUAAUAUUCGCUGAGGAAGUUACUGGAAUUUAAAAUAGACAAACUCCAUUUAUGAAGCUAUUCUGAAUAGUUUUAGGUAACCCAAAACGUAAUGAUAAUGCAGCACCACCAAAAGUUUUGUAUAAAUAUUGUUUUUUUUAAACUUCACAAAUAUAAUAAAAUAAUCGUGCAGGUAUAUGAAUCAGUCCAAGAAUGCUGUAUAAUGUGUAACAUUGAAAUUCAACAUAAAGAUAACUUGAGAUGACUUGGUGGAUUAGUUUAGGUGGAGACUGUGAACGAAUUGAUUCAGUCGCCAGUAUAACUUGUUGCGUCGGCCCGAUUUACAGGAGCGUUUUCCUCUGUUAAGUUCGCACGCCACAUGACAACACCAACAGCAACCAACGAGUGAGCUUUGUAGCCUCCAAGCUUUUACGUAAGAUUCUAUAGCACGUAACGUAAAUUACGUACGUAAACGUAAAUUACAUUCUACGUAGAUUUCUCCGUAAAUUCGGCUGCAUAAAAUUCCUUCGAGAAUUUCUGGUAAAAACGCUUCCGCACAGUCAUUGUGAAUUAUAAAACUGCCCCUUAUUACACCAUUUGGUGACGCUGCGGCAAUGCCACCCCGAAUGAUUCACUUGGAUUCUGAAGUUUGUUACGACCGACGUAAUGUCACAAGCAAACAAUGAUCAAGUGUAGUUGCAGCCAGGCAUUAUGAUGAAAGAGCCUGGACGCCCACAAUUUCAUGGAUAUGCAACACGGACAUCUCCUUAGCACGAAUAGUUGCUUCCAAGAUUUGCCAUUAAGAAAGUCACUGCCUUCAAUUUAUGCAGAUUGUGCUACAAAAUAUGCUACGUCACUACAUUUCCAUGUUAUUUUUGUACAUAGAAGAGGCAAUUCAAAUAGAUGUUUAGUAAACUUCAAAAAUAAAACUAAAUAAAUUAAUUAUAUGUUUAAAUAAAACAGCGGCUGAUUCUUACGGAGGUCACUUAUCUCAUUUUACUGGCGGAAUCCCAAUUUUAUGUUCACUUUAAUUUUCUCCUUCAAUGCAUUUAACAGUAGGCUCAUGCAUUUUGUUGUAUCAAACACUUAUUUAUAGUAUAUUUUGUGCACAACAACGUUGCCUCCUAAUGCAAUUAUCAAAAACUAAAUCUGCAAUCUGUGUAGAACUUAGGCAACAAAUUUUCGGGAACGUUUUUUGUAGACUGUUUUUCGAAAGACAUUCUGCACCGAAUUACGAUUAGAAAAUCUUUUAUUGUCCAUCUGCACGAAAAACGACAUUAGUGAUGGAAAACUAGUAUCGCGUACAGCAAUUGUACCAUAAUGUUCAAUUUUUGCCAAACGCAAUGUUGCCAAUGUUGGGAAAAAUUUUUAAGAACGGUUUCGCAGUGGAAAUAUUAUACAAGUUAUCUUGUUCAAAAAUAAAAAUGUAUCAAAA
Molecule: non-coding RNA, 2656 nt
Organism: Bemisia tabaci
Lineage: Eukaryota; Metazoa; Arthropoda; Insecta; Hemiptera; Aleyrodidae
Source: RefSeq, a predicted model, not a curated record